Cygnus olor (mute swan) is the source of this 4797-nucleotide long non-coding RNA. RefSeq lists it as uncharacterized. The record is from RefSeq and is a predicted model, not a curated record. The transcript is spliced from 4 exons. NCBI's taxonomy places the organism in Eukaryota, Metazoa, Chordata, Aves, Anseriformes, Anatidae.
CCCGUCCUUAUCUCAACCCUUGAGCCCUUUGCAUCGUAUUUUCUCACCUUUUCCUUUGAGGAGCGGGAAUGAGAGAGCGGCCAGGGUGGAACUCGGCUGCCCAUCCGAGUAAAACCACCACAAAGACCAAGCUACCUCUCUCUCGUGGGCUGUUGAGACUAAGUUAAAGGAUGUGAAGGGGCAUGGAACUUGCAUCCAUAGCUGCUGCGAUGGAGCGAAGUAGCUCUGCACUUUUGGCACACAAGGAAAAGGUCUAAUUUAUCUUACUGAAAUCAUUGCAGCUUCUGCUGUCUAUAGUACAGGCAACUGGGAGGUCAGAUGCCUGCAAGCAGUGUUUCCAUCGCAGUGUAUUUAUAUGUUUUGGUGAUGGGCAAACCUAACAUCAUGUGGGCUGAAUCCGGCCUUGUACUAAGUUCCCUCAAGUUUGGCUGCCUGAGCUGUGUGACCUGUAUUGAGAUACCUGAGAAUCUGCCAUUUGCAACAAGUCACUGAAUGCUCUGCUGAGUUGAUUACACUGUUCUGUGAAUCUUAACGGCAUACUCGAAAACACUUUUAACCUCCUAUUUGACAUUGUUGACCAAAGAAGGGCUUAGGAAAACAAAAUUUUCCUUGCUAAAAACUCUAUUUCUUAAUGGGUUUCUAUUAGUUACAAUCCAUGUAACAUUUGGUCCCUUUUGCUGCUGGGGAGAUCUGCUAUAAGUAGCUUAGGCAGAACUGCAUUGCCUGCAGAUUAAAACACACACACAAACAUGAGGUUUUUAGGUGAAUUCAUCAAAAAAGCUAUGGAGAUGCGUUUUUUUUUUUUUUUUAAUGCAUUAAAGCCAUCUGCAUCCUCCCCAGCAAUGACAGUGGAACAUUCCUUUAGCUAUUACAUGAGGCAGAAUCUCCUUUCAGAAGUGUUAGAAUGUGCAGUUGUCCCAGACAUCUGAACUGCUGGGGAAAAAAAAAAAAAAAAAAAAAGUAGAAGCACUGUGCAUUUUUAUUUUUCUUUUUUUAAAUCAAAAUGCUCUGGAUUUGUGAGGUCAAAAGUGCUUGGACUCUCUGCGAAGAGCAGGUAAUUUGUAAUUAAAGAAAGAUAUGAGUGCAGAUACCACUAGAAUGAAAACACUAACACAAAUGUUUUGAUAAAGCCUGUGGAAAAUUCCUGUGAAGUAUUGCAGUAAAAAUCCUUUCUGUUGUGCUCUUGGAGUCUGUCAGCAAUCAAUAGGUUGAUACAAUGGAAUAUGUUAAUGCAGUGAAAUCCAGUUAUUAAAACAGGAUUAGAUGGUACUCUGUCUGGAAGACUGAAGCACUCUGCUUCGGUUUUUGAUCAUCAGACAGUCCCAGGAUCUCAGGUUAAUUUUAAGUAUCAUCUUUUGCCACUGUUCAUUAAUAAUUGCAAAUAGCUAUGUUAAAAAAAAAAAAAGGGAAGAAAAAAAAAGAAACAAAAGAGGUUUCAGAUGUCACAGCCUGUAUUCCAGGAAAGCCUGCCAAGUCUCCAGAAAACUGAACUUAGUAACUGAAACUAUUAAAAUCAUAAAGUUUUAUAGAAAUUAAUUUUAUUAUGCUUUCAUCCUAGGAUAUUUAAUAGAACACAUUACACAUAGCACGUCAUACUUUUCAGGCUUUAUCUGCUUGGUCAUUGUCUGCAUAACUAGCAGCAUUUUUUGCAGCAGAUCCUUUUUAUCAAGGUCUAGUGGUGCGGCUCUCUGAAAUGUUCACUGUGCAAUUCAGGAAUCUGUGAUAUGCACUAGGUCUAUGCAGUCAUGUGUUUUCACCCCCCCUAAAUCAGGAAAACACUGUGCUGCCACAGAGAUGUUCUUCAUUCUACUAAAUCUGGAGGAGGGUAACAAAUAAACCAACUUCUUGUGGGACUGCAGAUGGAGUGUAACACACAUUUUUUUAAUAGUAGUUAAACAAAAGGAAUGAAAUAGCUUUCCCAAAGCAUUGCUCUUGGUCUGACUGCUAGGACUUCAGUUAAUGCUUUCCUUUUGUGGAAGGCUAGAGGACAAGAAAGGACACAGUCUCCUGGGGUAAAGUAAAAUUCAUCCUUUUAGCAGUUAUCUCUGAAAGUUAAAAGUAAAGGAACAGGCAUUUUUCCAUAGUAAAUUCAAAAGCAGCAGUGUAAUAAAAAGAACAAUAAAAUUAUAACCGAGAGAGAGAGUCUGGGUGGCUAGAGCAAUUGGCACAGGAUCCAGAUUCGUGAAUUCUCUUCUCUCUCUGAAUAAUGACAUUGGUGGUCAUUUAGAGCAAAUCCUUUCCUUAGCACGUUGCCCAUGUGAAAAGAGCUGGGAGGAUACUAAAAACUGUAUUGAAGCACAAACUCUCUCCAAGGUCUUAGUUUCAUCAAUACAUCUUUUUGUCCUGCUUAAUGGGGUGUGAGAAGUGGAUAUUGCUCACUUCCAGUGCAGACAGGUGUUUCUAUGACAAAAUGUAAUAAAAGCAGAAAGGAGGGUAACUGGUUUUGGACCUCUAGUUCCCUGCAGCACCAUGCUGAUAGAGCUAUGUGCCACCAGUGCCAAAAAUGGCAUUGACCUGGCUGUUCUGAGCAAGCCUCGUGUCACUAAGACCAUGCAAAUAUUUGGGAGCAUUGCUGGGAAAGCAGGUAGUGGCAUCACUGUGUCUACUCGUUCUUGUUCCUGCAGUCUCCUCGCAUCUCCUCACAUAAAUUCAUCGAAAAUAUUUCAGCCGGAUCAACUACUUCAUCAGGUUUAACUUGUGGUUGCCUAGUAGCUGGAUUUACACUGUGAAGAGGCUGCAAAAAAGAGGAUCUGAGCCACGAUAAUGUGGGUUGCUUCAUCUGGCAGUUCUGGAAAACCAAACGCAGAGGCAUAAUUUAUGCCAUGGCAUGCAAUGCUGUAUUCAACUUCUGCACAAGUGUUUUGGAAAAGAUAUUCUUCAUUAGACCUAGCACCGUGGCAUGGUGUGACUUUUUCCUGUUUCCUAAGUUGCUGCUAUCUUAAGUAGUCUGGUAGAGUGCAGCUGUGGCACACUAGUUUUUCCUCGCAGUGAUGAGUGCCUCAAGUGAGGGGGUGACUUGCUUCCUACUCUGUGCAAUCCUGAAAAUGUGGAACUCGUUCCCUCUGGAGUUAUGAAAUGUGGACAGAUUCCUCUUUUUUACAGUGGAAAAGCAUGAAAUCAUAGCCACAUUGGCUGGAGUUAUUAUUCGUUUAACAGUUAAACUUCCAUUAUGUUUUACUGUUUGCUACAUGCCAUUUUUAUGUGCUUCAGUUUUAUGCAUUUUGCAGUUAACUGUUUGAAAGGAGAAAGAAGUGAUUUACCAGGACUGUGCCUUUCUCCCCACUAAUUCUGUGCUUUUCUUGUUGCUAGGAUGAUAUUUGUUUCACAUUGCAUGUGGGCAUGUAGUAAAACAUAGAUAUAUUAAAUUUUACUGUCCGAUUCAUAGAGACUCCCAGAAAAAAGAAGACUCUUCAUGUGCUGUGAUAUAUCAUCCCUAUAUGUGGGUAUAACCAGAGCUUAGUUUUAUGCUGCAUGGUGAAGUUCUCUGCACAAGCCCUAUUCUGAAGGAAGCUGUACAAAAGCAGUUUUUUCUGGAAGCUACCACAUCGUGGAAUUGUGCCUUCUGGGUCAGAGAUGAAAGGAGCUGGCCACAGUGGCAAACACUGUCCUGGGGAGGAGAAAACAUUGCAGAAGGCUUCAGCUGAAUGUGAAUGGUUUAGUCAAAGUAUAGUCUGCUGGACUUUGCUUAAGCAAAAAGCAAUCAUUCUCCUUGUAAAUGUAAGAACACAGAGAAGGAAGAAAAUUUGCCAAGUAAGAAAGCAUUAUGGGCCAUUAGCAAAUUAAGGAAUGUGUAUCCUCUCCCAUGAACUUAUUGCUGCACAUAAAGAUCUGAAACUGUUCUGCUCUUGCGUUGUGGUAUUAGCCAACAUGAGGUGACCGCUGGGAAGAGGGUUCAGAAAUGUGCAAGAGAUGAAAAUUCCCUGCAAUAUAUUUUAUAUGGUAAAAACAUAUAGGUUUUGUUGUUGUUGUUUGUUUGUUUGUUUUCUCAUGGAUGUUGCAAUGUUGUCAAAUCCAAUAAGUCAAAUAUCAUUUUUCUACUGGGGAAGAAUACAAACAAAAUUGCUCACAUAGUAAUAAUGACUGACAUUCUUUAUGUUGUAUGCUGAAAGGACACCAUUAGGAGGGGCUAAGAUGUGAUGACCCAUACAGAUCUUUAUAGAGGACCAAAAAGGAAUUCCUGGGAGAUGUGUAUCAGCCCUUGAAAUACGUCCUGCAUAUGAUCCUGAGUCCAUCUGUGGUUGUGAAUAGGUUGGUAAGGCCUUAGUCUUCCACCCAGUAGCUAGGCCUUCACACCAGAAACAUUAAAAUCUUUGAGCUUGAUAUUGGCAUUUGGCAUCUAUAGCGUCAGCUGAAUUCGCAUUCUCAUUGGUUUUAUAAUUCUAUAUUAUUUUCUAAUGACAGUCUGCAUUCACAGUGGGUGAAGAAUGGGCAUGGACCCUUUGCUGGCUCUAAUGGAAGCUAUUGCUCUUGGUGGCAGGCAUAAAAUGGGCAAAUCUGCCUGUUUGAGUUGUGGAUAGGUAAGUCGGAUCAGCUGCUACUGGUGCUCUAGGCAUUUCACCAUUAAAAAUGUUGUAUGUCUCUUGAUUUGUCCACUAAGUCAACUUUGUAAUUCUAAAAGCAAAGCCAAUUACUACAGAGUUUCACUUAUUAAGCUUUUUCAUUGGUGUGUUUUUCAUUGACACUCUUUAGCUAAGGCAAAGGUUAUUAUUUUUAAUAAUUAUCCCUAACGAAUUUUGCACAUGGGAAGUGUAUAACAAAGCAUAUGUCCUUCAACAUCUUUGCUGUAGAAAUAAACAA